Molecule: long non-coding RNA, 256 nt
Organism: Dromiciops gliroides (monito del monte)
Lineage: Eukaryota; Metazoa; Chordata; Mammalia; Microbiotheria; Microbiotheriidae
Exons: 3
Source: RefSeq, a predicted model, not a curated record
GAAGAAGUUAUACAAGGACACUCUCAAGGUCUUUCUGAAGAACUUUGGCAUCAAUCGUGAAACAUGGGACAUGCUGGCAAAGGACCACCCAGCAUCAAAGAAGGUGAACCAGAAUGAGAGUAGUUCAAAAGAAAGCUGCCAGCAGCUAUGUGGCCGUGCCUCCAGUGUUCGGGGAAGAACAUUUUUUGAGCAAGCUGGAAGAAGUUACACUGACUCUUGGAACACCCUGUAUAGAAGAAAGAUUGGAUUAGUGGAA